Molecule: ribosomal RNA, 439 nt
Filed under: uncultured bacterium
Lineage: Bacteria
Description: bacterial SSU rRNA
Rfam family: Bacterial small subunit ribosomal RNA
Source: RNAcentral
ACGCGUGGAACCUUACCAGGUCUUGACAUCCCAUUGACCGCUAUGGAGACAUAGCUUUCCCUUCGGGGACAGUGGUGACAGGUGGUGCAUGGUUGUCGUCAGCUCGUGUCGUGAGAUGUUGGGUUAAGUCCCGCAACGAGCGCAACCCUUGUUCUUAGUUGCCAUCAUUUAGUUGGGCACUCUAAGGUGACUGCCGGUGACAAACCGGAGGAAGGUGGGGAUGACGUCAAAUCAUCAUGCCCCUUAUGACCUGGGCUACACACGUGCUACAAUGGAUGGUACAAAGGGCUGCAAGACCGCGAGGUUUAGCCAAUCCCAUAAAACCAUUCUCAGUUCGGAUUGCAGGCUGCAACUCGCCUGCAUGAAGCUGGAAUCGCUAGUAAUCGCGGAUCAGCAUGCCGCGGUGAAUACGUUCCCGGGCCUUGCACUCACCGCCCGU